RNAcentral lists this ribosomal RNA (496 nucleotides) under uncultured bacterium. RNAcentral describes it as "partial 16S ribosomal RNA". It matches the Rfam family "Bacterial small subunit ribosomal RNA", at positions 28 to 507 of the family's 1533-position model. The record is from RNAcentral.
GAUGAACGCUGGCGGCGUGCCUAAUACAUGCAAGUCGAGCGAACAGACGAGGAGCUUGCUCCUCUGACGUUAGCGGCGGACGGGUGAGUAACACGUGGAUAACCUACCUAUAAGACUGGGAUAACUUCGGGAAACCGGAGCUAAUACCGGAUAAUAUAUUGAACCGCAUGGUUCAAUAGUGAAAGACGGUUUUGCUGUCACUUAUAGAUGGAUCCGCGCCGCAUUAGCUAGUUGGUAAGGUAACGGCUUACCAAGGCGACGAUGCGUAGCCGACCUGAGAGGGGGGCCGGCCACAGAGGAAGUGAGACAGGGUCCAGACUCCGACGGGGGCCAGACGCGGGGAAUAUGCAGCAGUGGGGAAAAGCGUACAAGGGGAACGCGGCGGAGGUAGAGAAGGCUUGCGGGGGGUAAAACCCUUUUGGUUGGAAAAAACAAAUGCGAAAGAAAAAGCGCCCGUGUGGCGGGACCUUAAUAAGAAGCCCCGGCUAAAUACGUG